GACGAACGCUGGCGGCGUGCUUAACACAUGCAAGUCGAACGGUAAGGCCCUUCGGGGUACACGAGUGGCGAACGGGUGAGGAACACGUGGGUGAUCUGCCCUUCACUUCGGGGUAAGCCUGGGAAACUGGGUGUUAUACCGGAUAGGACCCUGGGAUGCAUGUCCUGGGGUGGAAAGCUUUUGCGGUGUGGGAUGGGCGCGCGGCCUAUCAGCUUGUUGGUGGGGUGAUGGGUUACCAAGGCGAGGACGGGUAGCCGGCCUGAGAGGGUGACCGGCGACACUGGGACUGAGAGACGGCCCAGACUCCUACGGGAGGCAGCGGGGGGGAAUAUUGCACGAGGGGCGCAAGCCUGAUGCAGCGACGCCGCGUGAGGGAUGACGGCCUUCGGGUUGUAAACCUCUUUCAGCACCGACGAAGCGCAAGUGACGGUAGGUGCAGAAGAAGGACCGGCCAACUACGUGCCAGCCGCCGCAGUAA
Molecule: ribosomal RNA, 478 nt
Filed under: uncultured bacterium
Lineage: Bacteria
Description: partial 16S ribosomal RNA
Rfam family: Bacterial small subunit ribosomal RNA
Source: RNAcentral